AACAAGGGAAACCAAAAGAGACUGAUGCUAGGAUACAUGGGCUCUUCCAAUGAAAUUGGAGACGAAAAUGCAAAGUUUCCAUUUGUUAGCUUUGAAGAUAUCCUCGUGGCAACAGAUAAUUUUUCUGACUCAAACAUUGGAAAAGGGGGCUUUGGCAAAGUUUACAAGGGGAUACUGGAAGGUUUCAAGGAAGUUGCUAUCAAAAGGCUUAGCGUGGGUUCUCAGCAAGGGAUGGAGGAGUUUAAAAAUGAAGUAGUUUUAAUAGCGAAAUUGCAGCACAGAAGCCUAGUUAGACUUCUUGGUUGCUGCAUGCAUGGAGAUGAGAGGUUACUUAUUUACGAAUACCUACCUAACAAGAGCUUGGACUCCUUUCUUUUUGAUGCUACAAGACAAAAUUUACUUGAUUGGGUCAUACGCUUCAAGAUAAUUAAAGGGGUAGCGGGAGGACUUCUUUACCUUCACCAAGAUUCGAGAUUAACUAUAAUUCACAGAGAUCUGAAAUCAAGCAACAUCUUGUUGGAUUUGGAAAUGACUCCUAAAAUAUCUGGUUUUGGUAUGGCAAGGAUCUUUGGAGGAAACCAACAACAAGAAAAUACUACCCGGGUUGUUGGGACAUAUGGUUACAUGUCGCCUGAAUAUGUGAUGGGAGGUACUUUUUCUGUAAAAUCCACACCUAUAGCUUUGAUGUUAACUGUUCUCAUGGAGAUUGUCAGUGGCUUGAAGAUUACCUCACCGCAACUCGUAAUGAACUGUGCCAUUCUUACUACUUAUGCAUGGAGAUUAUGGGAUGGAAAAGCAACAGAACUUGUGCAAUCUUCGGCUAUCGAGAGUUGUCCACUUUAAGAAGUUCUAUGGUGUAUUCAUGUUUGUCUCCUAUGCGUUCAAAAUCACCCGGAUGAUAGGACAUCUAUGUCAACAGUGAUAUUCAUGUUAUAGAAUGAAAGUGCAUUGCUUCCUACCCCAAAGCAUCCUGCAUAUUUUGCUUUACAGGAUUUUGAAACUGAACAAUCAAGGGAAAACAGGAGAAAUUCUAUGAAUGCCAUAAGCAUCACAACACUAGAGGGUCGUUAG
RNAcentral lists this ribosomal RNA (1071 nucleotides) under Triticum aestivum (bread wheat). RNAcentral describes it as "partial small subunit ribosomal RNA". The record is from RNAcentral. Lineage: Eukaryota; Viridiplantae; Streptophyta; Magnoliopsida; Poales; Poaceae.